ACGGCGGCAGGUGGAAGUGCCCAUAUGCAUGGAUUCCUUUGGCUGCUCUCCAGAGCUUUGGUCCCAGCGCCAUGUGCAAAGCCGCAACUUAGCCCCACAGAAUGGUCAGCCGAGGGCCGGGGAAAGCAGGUGAUGCGGGGCGCAGCUCCCAGCAGCCUCGGGGGAGACGCGACCAGAACAAAAGCAAGCUCUCAUUAAACUUUUGACAUCGUCCUUCGAAGCAAACCAACCAACCCACCCACCCAGGAAUGUUACAAGUGGGCUGACCUACCCUACCCCUCCGCCCAGCCCCAUGCACCCCCAGGCGCUCUGGAGGAGUGGAACCCAGAGAUCUAGAUUCCAGCUCGAACUCCAGCUGCUAUCAUCCAUCUGUCUCCGGGUGUGUAGUAGGUGGCAGCUUGGAGAUGGGGGUUCAGUAAUAUUAUAGACCCUUUAAUAACAACAGUGCGGGGAGUUACCUGCUGGUAUGCAACAGAGCCUGCAGCUGGAGUCCUUGUGUCUGAGCAUUCCAGACUUAUCUAGCACAGGUACUGAUCUGAUGCUACUGUAAUAGGGGACCAGGUAGGGCAGGGUCUGGCUGUUUUUCCAGGUGUCUGUAUCUGUGGUCCCAUGGGGUUAUGGUCCAUUACAGGGGCUCUCAGGUGCUACCACAGCACAGCUAACGAGUAUCUCAGAGAUUAUUUACCCCCCAUCACAGUGUCUCUAAGUACCUCUCAGCUUUUAAUGUAUUGAUUCUCAAUGCCUCUGUGAGGCCGGACAGGGCUGUUAUUCCCAUUGUACAGGUGGGGAAACUAAGUGAUUUGGCCUAGGUCACCCAGGAAGUCUGGGGCAGAGUCAGGAACUGAACCUAGGGCUCUCAAGACCCCUGUACAGGGGGGAAGGGGGAGCAGCGCCAGAGUGUGGGAAGUCACUUUCCUGACUCUCCAUGCUCCAGCCACAACCCUAUUCCCCUUUCACUUUCCCAUUUUCCUCUGAAAGUGACUGGUCUGAGAAUGUACAGCAGUGGGGUGAGUCUGUUGGGGACCUAGGCACCCUCCUGCCCUCUGGCUUCCCCGAGACCUUGGCUGGCCUCAGCACCUCUGAAAAGUAGCUGCUCGCACCUUUCAAAAACUCAACUGCAGCUGUGACUGUAGCGCUUCUGGGAAGGCUGGAGUGACAGCCCUAGGGGGGCGUUUCAUGUUUCUCCCCAGCUUGGUAG
RNAcentral lists this long non-coding RNA (1198 nucleotides) under Chrysemys picta bellii (western painted turtle). RNAcentral describes it as "lncRNA (ENSCPBG00000012614.1)". Lineage: Eukaryota; Metazoa; Chordata; Testudines; Emydidae. The record is from RNAcentral.